AAACGACUCUCGGCAACGGAUAUCUUGGCUCUCGCAUCGAUGAAGAACGCAGCAAAAUGCGAUACUUGGUGUGAAUUGCAGAAUCCCGUGAACCAUCGAGUUUUUGAACGCAAGUUGCGCCCGCAGCCAUUAUGCCGAGGGCACGUCUGCCUGGGCGUCACGC
RNAcentral lists this ribosomal RNA (163 nucleotides) under Osmanthus racemosus. RNAcentral describes it as "5.8S ribosomal RNA". It matches the Rfam family "5.8S ribosomal RNA". Rfam says of the family: 5.8S ribosomal RNA (5.8S rRNA) is a component of the large subunit of the eukaryotic ribosome. It is transcribed by RNA polymerase I as part of the 45S precursor that also contains 18S and 28S rRNA. Lineage: Eukaryota; Viridiplantae; Streptophyta; Magnoliopsida; Lamiales; Oleaceae. The record is from RNAcentral.